Molecule: ribosomal RNA, 1691 nt
Filed under: Scorpaena neglecta
Lineage: Eukaryota; Metazoa; Chordata; Actinopteri; Perciformes; Scorpaenidae
Description: 16S ribosomal RNA
Rfam family: Bacterial large subunit ribosomal RNA
Source: RNAcentral
CGCCCAACAGCUAGCCCAUAAACCCAACACCAACACAACCCUAUUAAUAACCCCAAAAACACAAACCCAAACUUAAGUAAACCAUUUUUCCCCUCUAGUAUUGGCGAAAGAAAAAGGACUGAGGAGCAAUAGAAAAAGUACCGCAAGGGAUCGCUGAAAGAGAAAUGAAACAACCCAGUAAAGCAAACAAAAGCAGAGAUUUACCCUCGUACCUUUUGCAUCAUGACUUAGCCAGUGUGCCCAAGCAAAACGUGUUUUAGUUUGAUACCCCGAAACUAGGUGAGCUACUCCAAGACAGCCUAUAUUAUAGGGCAAACCCGUCUCUGUUGCAAAAGAGUGGGAAGAUCUUCGAGUAGAGGUGACAGACCUACCGAACCUUGUUAUAGCUGGUUGCCCGGGAAUUGAAUAGAAGUUCAGCCUUUCAGGUUCUUCAUUAACCACCGUAAUACACCAUUAUUAGGGCAAGAAACUGAAAGAGUUAGUCGAAGGAGGUACAGCUCCUUUGAAUAAAGACACAACUUUAUAGGGAGGGUUAAGAUCAUAGUAAGACAAAGGACAAGUAUUUAGGUGGGCCUAAGAGCAGCCACCCUGCAGAAAGCGUUAUAGCUCAAAUACCCUUCCUCCCCCUUUAUCCCGAUCAUAUAUUCUUAUCCCCCCACCCCUUACCGGGCCAUCCCAUGACAAACAUGGAAAAGACCCUGCUAAUAUGCGUAAUAAGAGAGCUAAGACUCUCUCCGUACACAUGUGUAACUCGGAUCGAACUAACACCGAAUAACAACGGCCCCAAGUAAAGAGGGUUGUGAACAGCACUAAAACUAGCAAGGAAAGACUUCACAACUAUACCGUUAACCCUACACAGGUGUGUUGCCACGGAAAGACUAAAAGAGAAAGAAGGAACUCGGCAAACUAAUAAGCCUCGCCUGUUUACCAAAAACAUCGCCUCUUGCAAAAUUAACGAAUAAGAGGUCCCGCCUGCCCUGUGACUAUAUGUUUAACGGCCGCGGUAUUUUAACCGCGCGAAGGUAGCGCAAUCACUUGUCUUUUAAAUGAAGACCUGUAUGAAAGGCUAGACGAGGGCUUAACUGUCUCCUUUCUCAUGUCAAUGAGAUUGAUCUCCCCGUGCAGAAGCGGGGAUAAUACCAUAAGACGAGAAGACCCUAUGGAGCUUCAGACACCAAAGAAGACCAUGUUCCCAACCCUCCGAUAAGAGACCAAACUAGUGGUUUGCCUUCCCUAAUGUCUUUGGUUGGGGCGACCGCGGAGAACUACAAAACCCCCGCGUGGAAUGGGCGCACCCGUUCCUUAAAUUAAGAGCCACAGCUCUAACUAGCAGUAAUUCUGACCACCCUAGAUCCGGCAAAGCCGAUCAACGGACCUAGUUACCCUAGGGAUAACAGCGCAAUCCUCUUUUAGAGUCCAUAUCGACAAGGGGGUUUACGACCUCGAUGUUGGAUCAGGACAUCCUAAUGGUGCAGCCGCUAUUAAGGGUCCGUUUGUUCAACGGUUAAAGUCCUACGUGAUCUGAGUUCAGACCGGAGUAAUCCAGGUCAGUUUCUAUCUAUGACGCACUCUCUUCCAGUACGAAAGGACCGAAAAGAGGAGGCCCCUCCACCAGUAUGCCUCACCCCCACCUAAUGAAAUCAUCUAAAUCUAGGCAAGAGGGCGCACCUCCCUGCCAAAGAUAAUGGCAU